This 1537-nucleotide long non-coding RNA is filed under the name Citrus x clementina. RNAcentral's name for it is "Citrus clementina (C. clementina) long non-coding RNA (CCLE_LNC004138)". Lineage: Eukaryota; Viridiplantae; Streptophyta; Magnoliopsida; Sapindales; Rutaceae. The record is from RNAcentral.
GAAUAUAAAAAAUGUACAUUGUUACACGUCCUUAUAUUAAGUUAUUAUUUUGUUUUGCUGUCAAUAAUCUAUUUACGUUUCAAUUAUAUAGGACAUAGUAUGGUAAGUGCUGGACUUAGUCUAAGGGUUGUUAGGAGUUGUUGGCCACUUAACACUUUUUCGUGCUGAGAGUUGCUUGGCUUUAGGAAUAACCAUUGUGUUUUCACAAGCGGUUGCUCGGUCUCUCGAAGAAUCAUGAUUUAUUGGGCAAUGAUAUUCGGCCACCACGAGACCAUAACGAAGCCAGAAACGCAUGCUUCCUCUGCCGUUUCGAAGUUUUAAAUUUGAAAAUUAAAAAUAGAUUUUACCAUUGAAAAAUAUUAAAAUUAAAUCUAAAGAAUUUGAAAAUUCCAAAAUUCUUACCCGUCCCUCUCACUCGCUUGCUCUGUCUCUCUCUCAUUCACCUUCCCUCUCACUCACCAGCUCUGUCUCUCUCACUCACCCGAUCUGCCUCUCUCACUCACCCACUUGCGAGCUAUUUCUCUCAGGCUGUCACUCACCCACGAAACUUGUUGUCACGCCACGCCCAUCGCCGACCAGCCCAUCACCGACAUCGCUAUCACGCCGUUCACGUCGCCGACCAGCCUUAGUUGACAGUGUGCUUGACGAUUUUGGACCUUUUUCACCUACCUAGGUAAUUAAAUUUAGUAUGUUGAGGAAAGUUUUGAUUUAUUGUAUUUAUAUUUUAAAAUUAUUAGAAAUAAGUUAUUUGAAAUGUAGAUUUUGUUUGAAUUAUAUAUGAUUAAUACAAUUUAUUUUUCAUGGUAUUACAAAGAAAAGGUUGGGAAGAAAUAUAAAAAGAAAAUUAAGGUAAAAUUAAACUACUUAGUUAAUUAUUCUACAAUUAAUUUAAUUUUAAUUUAUCUUUAUAUGGAUUUGCAGGAUUCAAAUGUACAAACAUCGUUAUCUUCUGAGGUGGAUAUUGUAGUCCCAACGCAGGAGAGCAUUAAGGAUCCAGUAAAUUUUAUGUUCUUUGAUGCAAUACAAUUUAUUAUUUUAAUUUUUAAUGGCCACUAAAUCUGUCAUUAUUGUAUUUUAAAUGGUCACUAAAUAAUGGUCAUUAUUUAGGAACCUGUGUUCACAUACCAAUCACAAGGAUGUGAAAUUUAUCUAUCGUUUCCUUUUGAUUCUUACAUUGUAAGUUAUAAUCCAGUUUUUAUAUUUAUGCCUAAUUAAUUUUGCAGUUUUUAUAUGUGAAAAUGCCAAAUUAACCAAAAAAAAAAAAAAAUUGGUUAUCACAAUUAUCUUUUUCAAAUAAAUUUUAUGGCAUGUUGAGGUUGCUUUAGUAUAAAAAGAAGGGGGGGGAACUCCUCAUUCAUAACCAGAUCUUAAAGAGCUAGAUUAAACACUCAAAAUUCACAACUUUUAUUGCAUAAUAUUGUUACAAGUUUCGGUUCAAAGGAUCAAAGGCCAGCUAAAGACAGUUUUAUUUAUUUCAUAAGCGUCAGGAAGGCCGGUCCAUAAUUCCAUUAGCUAGCUGAGAGUUACAUAAUACAAU